GCAUCUGCAUUAUUGUUUGUUCUUUGGAAAAACUUCAUACACUGUUAGACGCUAUCUCAAGAAAAGUAUGUCCAUUUUUUUCUUCCAUUAGUAGUACAAAUAUAUUUUCAUCAAGAUAGAGUCUAUCUCAAGAAAAGUAUGUCCAUUUUUUUCUUCCAUUAGUAGUACAAAAACGUAACUUGAAAUAAUUCCUCACUUGAGGCCUACUGAAUACAAGAGGCCAGGAAACGGUGCUGAUGAUUAUGGUGGUGUGUUGGUGGAAGAGGUUUUGAAUAUCCAGAAAAGCUACCUGCCAAGAAGAGCUAAGCCUUUAAUGCACUGGAUGAAUUUUCUGAUAGUGCAGGCUACCAAUUUUGUAUGUACCUUAAAAUGUCAUAUUGAACCUGAAAUGAUGAUGCAAAGAAUACGUUAAAUGAAGCUAAGAAAAUUAAUUAGUGGAGGGGGAGAAAAAUAGACAAGUCUUUGUUUGACAUCCCAACCAACAAUAAAUGCACUCCUUUUUUUUAGGGUUCGGAUGGUUUUGUGUAAAUAUGAGUCUCUGAUUAAAUAUAUUUUAAGAUUUUCUUUUAAGGCAUUGUGAAGUAGCACCUUUUUAUUUUUGAAACAGAAAGCAUAUUUUAUAUAUAUAUAUAUAUAUAUAAAGUUAAAUAGAGAGGGAUGGUUUCCCCCUAUGGAUGUUUGACAUACAUGCAUCAUUAGAAUCUAUCAUUAGGCUACAUAUGACACUCAUAUUUCCUAGUGCAGCUAGAUCUUCACAUUGUUUAACACUACUAGUUCAUACAUAAACAUAGUCCUCCAUAUCCUUCUCAUGGACGGCC
RNAcentral lists this long non-coding RNA (818 nucleotides) under Nicotiana benthamiana. Its description in RNAcentral is "long non-coding RNA (NBEN_LNC006526)". Lineage: Eukaryota; Viridiplantae; Streptophyta; Magnoliopsida; Solanales; Solanaceae. The record is from RNAcentral.